CAUUCCAGUUCCAAGUACAAUCUCUUCUUCCAAGUACAAUCUCUUCACCCCUGCUCAAUUCUCCUACUCUGAUAUAAUAUAAUCACUUAAUCCAAUGUUUUUCAAAGAGUGCACAUACAUCACUAACACCACCAUAUGUCAGCUUUCCAUAGGACUGAAUCUAAUGUAUCUCUAUGAGAAGUACUAACCCGCAUGUAGCGUCAUCAUGAUGUGCAUGAUGAUGC
Molecule: non-coding RNA, 224 nt
Organism: Pelobates cultripes (western spadefoot toad)
Lineage: Eukaryota; Metazoa; Chordata; Amphibia; Anura; Pelobatidae
Source: the annotation of a GenBank genome assembly